This 253-nucleotide ribosomal RNA is filed under the name uncultured bacterium. Its description in RNAcentral is "partial 16S ribosomal RNA". It matches the Rfam family "Bacterial small subunit ribosomal RNA", at positions 524 to 776 of the family's 1533-position model. The record is from RNAcentral.
UACGUAGGGUGCGAGCGUUAAUCGGAAUUACUGGGCGUAAAGCGUGCGCAGGCGGUUUUGUAAGCCAGAUGUGAAAUCCCCGGGCUCAACCUGGGAAUGGCAUUUGGGACUGCAAGGCUCGAGUGCGGCAGAGGAGACUGGAAUUCCUGGUGUAGCAGUGAAAUGCGUAGAUAUCAGGAGGAACACCGGUGGCGAAGGCGGAUCUCUGGGCCUUACCUGACGCUGAGGCGCGAAAGCUAGGGGAGCGAACAGG